AUGUAAUGUUUCCUGAAGCCAACAUCUCAUCGAAUCUACAUCCAGGCUGUUACCACCAAUCAUCCAUAAGGAGCUCGUAUUAGUUUGAUCAAAACAACACCAGCAAACCAGAAAAAUGUGAAGGAGGAGCCAGAAAAUCCCAUGGGGUUCACCUGUGAUGGAAACACGCCAGUCAUGUUUCCCAGCCAUGCCAGGUGUCCAAAGCUCAGCACCUACAAAGGAGUAGAACCCAGACUCCCACCGGUUGAACCCGCCUACUACGUAUUUCUAGGAACGUCAUCGCUGAACGGGGGGAAAAAAAAAUCAAGAACAAAAACAAACACAAAACUAAACAAAAACAGGACAAUAAAGUGAAAUUGGAAUCUGUUAAUACUAAAUCAUGCCGCAGUCCAAAUACUAAAGGCAUUUUACACCAGAAGACUGCCGAUUUUAAAGUGAGCUUUUUCAAGAACCCAGAAGUUUCCAUCCCUGCCAAGCCCAGAUUCCUACUAAUCAAAAUCAAGGCACAAACUCUCUCUUUGAGUUUUGCUAAUGAAAACCAGAGCUCCUCUUGACAACGCAAGUUUCUUCUGGAGGCUAAACCCCCCACUUCUGUGCGUAAACUCACCUCCGUCUGCUGGAGAACAAAUGUUGGCUAACGUCAAGCCAUGUUGAGUUCACUCUCAACCAACACUCCUUUUCACAUAUGGCGCUGUCGGCCUAUGUCUUUCCAGCCGGAAGCAGUUGAACCUGUGCUUGGGACCUCGCAUUUACCCAACGUAUUGAUUUUGUUAAAACCAGACCCCGCACCCUCUCAUUUGCACCCUUCGGGAUAUUGAUUUCUAUCUCCAUCGUGCUUACUAGGCCGCCAGCUUCAAGCUGUACAUUAAUUUAAUAAACCUCUUUCCAAAUGUUCAUGCAAAUCACAGAUUAAAAGGAAAAAAAAAUCAUAAGGCAAGGGCAAAGCUCCAAAGCAUGUCACUAGACACUUUCCACCGGAUUAACGUUUACUUUUAAAUCAGUCCCUUUAAAAAUAAAAGCUCUUUAAUCAGUAGCGGCUCCACUCACGUGUCCUUUCUCUCUCGCCAGACGCCGUGCUGUCAGCAUUCUGGAUGAAGUGAAUCGCGCAGAACUUGCUCGUGGUGAGCCCACGCUGGCUGCUAGGUCUGUGGUUUCCUCUUCUAGGUGCUCACACGCCAGCCCUUUGAUCUUCCACCAGGCUUUCUGGAAGCUUCUUCAGUUGCAGACCCCAUCUUCUUUCUUGGUUGGAAAUCUGAACUCCAUUUGUUGGUCUCCAGUUUUCCAAACCACUUAGGUUUUCCGUGCUUCACAAAGACCACCCAUAGCAGUUUGGGUGAUCUGAUCUGACGAGUUUCUUUCAGUAACAUGGGCUAUAAUUUUCCGGCCUGGAAUGCCACAAGUGUCCGUUUCGUCAUCUAGAAAAUGGAGACUGUAACAGCAUUACCCCACACGGUGGUUUGCUAAUUAAAUGGCAUCAUGCACUUAAAGGGCUGCUGUCCGGCACGUAGGAAACAUUCCCCCCAAAUUUGUAACAAGCCACCACAUCGUUUCCUCCUGACAGCACCUCCAGUUUGAUUGGCCUAAAAACCCACCUCUUCCAGAAGCCGCAUUUGCUCCUAAAUUUCCUAAAUCUUUACACGAUGUCACUAUUCUCGCAGUCACUGAAGCCUGACACUCAAAAGCGUCUUUGAUCACCACUUGCCUUCUCGCCCACAUCAAUCGAUGUUAAGUCUGGUAGGUUUCAUCCCUGCAAUGCUACAGACACCACCCCCUUACUUCCAUCCCAUGGUCACCGUGACGGGUCGAAUGGCCGUGUCGCCUCAAAGCACAUGCAUUGAAGCCCUUAAUGCCCAGUGUGACUUAUUUGGAGACAGGUCCUGUGAGAUGAUAAAGGAAUGAUGAGGUCAUAACGGUGGGGCCCCAAUCCAACAGGGCUGUUGUUUGUGUAAGAAGAGGAAGAGACCCCAGAGAUCUCUCUCUCUCUCCACCACGUCAAGGCACAGUGAGAAAACGGUCGUCUACAAGGCAGAAGGAUCUUCACUGACAAUCAAAGUGGCUAACACCCUUGGACAGUCUGAGACUUGUCAGCCUCCAGAAUGGCGAGAACUAAACUUUUGGUUUAGUUUGCACCAACAGCCUCCUGACUCUUGCCCCCACUCCCACCUUUCCCCACUCCAUCCAAGUACCAACCAGGCCCGACCCUGCUUAGCUUCUGAGAUCAGGCGAGAUCAGGCACGUUGAGGGUGGUAUGGCCGUAGACUACCUUUCUCUACUCCAACUCACCUCUCCCACUGCUCCCAGCCUCCCAAUACUUCUUGACUUCUGCCCCUACAUCACCAGAAACUUCCCAUUGUUUGCCAAACUGAGCGUAAAUUCACCAGUACUUUCGAGGUAUCCCAGGUAAGCUUCACAUAUAAGCCCUCUUUAUGAUCCCAAUCUGACCCUGGAAACUCCUGUUCCUCGUUCCUGAUAUGGACUCUGCUCUAGCCAAACAAAACUUCUCAUAGUCCCUAAGAACAUCGUCGAUCAUUUGCAUUUUUUGACUGAUCUCUGCACCCAAACAGAAAGACUGGCUGACUUAAUAGUGACAUAAACAAGUAAGAGUAUUAUUUUCAUAUAGUAAGUCCAGAGAUGGGAAGUUACUUCUCUUGGUUUUGUGGCUCAAUAAUGUCACCAGAGAUCAGCAAUUUUUUUUCUUU
Long non-coding RNA from Felis catus (domestic cat), 2699 nucleotides. RefSeq lists it as uncharacterized. The record is from RefSeq and is a predicted model, not a curated record. Lineage: Eukaryota; Metazoa; Chordata; Mammalia; Carnivora; Felidae. The transcript is spliced from 3 exons.